UAUCGUUCAACCAUGGACUCUUGUCCCCAACAUCGUUAAAUCAAUUGUAAGUAUAAACACAGGUGUUGGAUAAAGACAAUUUUUUAUCGUAAUGUCUCCGUGUCAUGCAAAACCAAAGCAAAAGAUUAAGACACCGGAGACGAUAUAAAAACGCACGAGAGAAUUCAACGCAUGUGCUCCAACAGGAACAGGUGACGGUCCAAGAAGAACAAGUUGCGGUCGGACAGAUAUAGGCGGAUAAUAAGAAUAAUCAGUGUUGUGGUGUCUCUUCAACAAGGAUUCGUCUUCACUCCUUUCCUAAACAUCCAUCAAUGGUGUUAUCUUCAAGAACUCAUUAUUGUCUUCAUCCAGAAGGUUUUAGCAUCAUUCAACUCUCUACAAGGACUUUUCAACAAACUUUUUUUAUCCAAGGGCUUAUCUUCCUGUUGUGGACGACAUCGCCUAUUUUUUGUUAUUAUAAAAACAAAGGUAUUUCCUCUUUGAAUUGUUGGGAUAUGUAUGUAACGCUCUCU
RNAcentral lists this long non-coding RNA (512 nucleotides) under Androctonus crassicauda. Lineage: Eukaryota; Metazoa; Arthropoda; Arachnida; Scorpiones; Buthidae. The record is from RNAcentral.